UACGUAGGGAGCAAGCGUUGUUCGGAUUUACUGGGCGUAAAGGGCGCGUAGGCGGCAAUUCAAGUCAUCUGUGAAAUCUCCGGGCUUAAUUCGGAACUGUCAGAUGAUACUGCUUUGCUAGAGUGCAGAAGGGGCAAUCGGAAUUCUUGGUGUAGCGGUGAAAUGCGUAGAUAUCAAGAGGAACACCUGAGGUGAAGACGGGUUGCUGGGCUGACACUGACGCUGAGGCGCGAAAGCCAGGGGAGCAAACGGG
This 253-nucleotide ribosomal RNA is filed under the name uncultured bacterium. RNAcentral's name for it is "partial 16S ribosomal RNA". It matches the Rfam family "Bacterial small subunit ribosomal RNA", at positions 524 to 776 of the family's 1533-position model. The record is from RNAcentral.